GAGGAUAUAGCUCAAUGGUAGAGUGCAUGCUUAGUAUGCACAAGGUCCUGGGUUCGAUCCUCAGUACCUCCA
RNAcentral lists this transfer RNA (72 nucleotides) under Camelus bactrianus (Bactrian camel). It matches the Rfam family "tRNA". Rfam says of the family: Transfer RNA (tRNA) molecules are approximately 80 nucleotides in length. Their secondary structure includes four short double-helical elements and three loops (D, anti-codon, and T loops). The record is from Rfam by way of RNAcentral. Lineage: Eukaryota; Metazoa; Chordata; Mammalia; Artiodactyla; Camelidae. RNAcentral also lists the same sequence under 2 other names.